CUGAGAGGUGCUGGCCUCAGCUAAGCCUCCAUCCGCCGAGGGCCCCCACCUCCAUGCUGCAGACCAGGGUUCCUCUUUGUGAGGCCGGGCGACCUUCAGGCUGCUGUGAAGACGGCAGGGACUUGCUCGAGCCCGCCACAGCCCCCACCCUGGGGCAGCCAUGACAGGGCCCCAGGCCCACUGCCCCUGUCCCCGCUGCCCUGCACCAUGGCCUGGGCUAAGAUCAGGGCUUAGCAGCGGGCGUGGUGCAGGCACAGCCCUGGGUCCAGCCUGAUUUCCCCUUGGCCUUCUGAGAAGGAAGGAAUCAUGUCCCUCUCCCUCCAGAAAAGGUUCUGGGUCCUCUUUCACCAAACCAACCACAUGUGAGAAGAGAAACUCCAGAGAGAAGCCAUUUGGACCCAGAGACUUUAUCAAGUUGCUUGACACCUGCAGGAAGGCUUUCACCUUCUCCAGGGGGUCUUUGAUGAAAGCAUUCUGGGGAACAGGAGGCUACAUCCAUGCCCUCUCCCCCAGAAGCCCAGGGACAAUGCACAGCAAGUGGGAAAAGCCACCUCCCGCGGACCAGAGAUGCUUGAAACAUGGGGUUUUUCAGCCUCAGCACCACUGACAUUUGGGACGGAUCAUUCUCCCUGCUGUGGCCACCCCAUGCACUGCAGGCAGCUGAGCAGCAUCCUCGGCCUCCACCCGUGAGAGACCUGCACCACCCACCUCCGACGCCACCACCCAAAGCCUCUGCAGACACUUCCCGGUGUCCCCGGAUGGCAAAACUGGCCUGUGGAGGACCAGCGACCUGCCCCAGUGUUUACUGUGUGUGCAAAUACUCUCUGAGCCCCUGUAUGUGCCCGAGCUUGCCUGAGGUCUAGUGUGGCUGUGGCCAGUGGUGACACUAGAAAAAAACAGCAAACACGGGGCCUCGGCAUGCACCAAACUGGGCCAGAACCCACCGCAGCCAUGAGCUCUGGAACCCGCACUGCAAACAUGAGACCUCACCGUGCACCAACCUGGGCUGGAACCCACUGCAGCCGUGAACUCUGGAACCCACACAGCAAACAUGAGGCCUCACCAUGCACCAACCUGGGCUGGAACCCACUGCAGACGUGAACUCUGGAACCCACACAGCAAACAUUGGAGGGAAACACUGUCACUUCUACUUUACAGGCAUAAACACUGAAGUGCAGAGCAUUUGGGUGCAUCAGAAUUUUAACUCUUCAGCCCUGCAGGCCUCGCUUUCAGACAUUCUGCUUCAGUAGGGCUGGAAGGGGUCCUGGGGAGCCCCACUGCAGGGAACCAGAAACCAACUGGAAGAGCCGGUGUCCAGCAGGCCCCAGAGCUCCUCAGAGCCUCAGAUGGGGUUGGAGGGCCUUCCCCUGCUCCAUCCUUCCCCCAAAUACUGGUUGUUCCUUUCAUUCAAUAGAUGCUCAAAUCUUACACAAUUUAAACAGACAUUCCUAAGAGCACUGUAUUUGCAUGUAAUUUGACUGUUUUCUUGUAGUAGUUGUAAAAGGGGAAGGAAAAUCUAUUCCAGUUAAUUGUAGGUUCUGUGGAACUGGAGUUAGAUCACAUCACUAUUGAAACCAGCUUAUUAUUGAUCGGAAAUGUGACAGGCCUGGGUCCACGGGCACACGUGUUGCCAGAAGCCUUUGUCACUCCAUGGCUGACAUCUCUGCAUUGUUUUUCAGCUGGUAAUUCCUUAAAAGACUGAGACAAUAGUCAUUUAAUAUCGUUUGCUCAAAUGAACAGUUCCCCGAGCAAAUAACAAUAAUAAAAAAAAGUCCCUGAGAAGCCAAUUAGACUCUGCAGCUUGUACCAAGCAAUGGCCUUUCUAAUAGACGCCCUUUUUACAAGUGCAG
RNAcentral lists this long non-coding RNA (1850 nucleotides) under Homo sapiens (human). Its description in RNAcentral is "HSALNT0145088". The record is from RNAcentral. Lineage: Eukaryota; Metazoa; Chordata; Mammalia; Primates; Hominidae.